GAUGAACGCUGGCGGCGUGCUUAACACAUGCAAGUCGAACGAUGAAGCCCAGCUUGCUGGGUGGAUUAGUGGCGAACGGGUGAGUAACACGUGAGUAACCUGCCCUUAACUCUGGGAUAAGCCUGGGAAACUGGGUCUAAUACCGGAUAGGAGCGCCUACCGCAUGGUGGGUGUUGGAAAGAUUUAUCGGUUUUGGAUGGACUCGCGGCCUAUCAGCUUGUUGGUGAGGUAAUGGCUCACCAAGGCGGCGACGGGUAGCCGGCCUGAGAGGGUGACCGGCCACACUGGGACUGAGACACGGCCCAGACUCCUACGGGAGGCAGCAGUGGGGAAUAUUGCACAAUGGGCGAAAGCCUGAUGCAGCGACGCCGCGUGAGGGAUGACGGCCUUCGGGUUGUAAACCUCUUUCAGUAGGGAAGAAGCGAAAGUGACGGUACCUGCAGAAGAAGCACCGGCUAACUACGUG
RNAcentral lists this ribosomal RNA (466 nucleotides) under uncultured bacterium. RNAcentral describes it as "partial 16S ribosomal RNA". It matches the Rfam family "Bacterial small subunit ribosomal RNA", at positions 28 to 507 of the family's 1533-position model. The record is from RNAcentral.